AGCGACGACAGAGGCAGCGUUUGUGAGCAGCGACAGCGGCAGCGGGAGCAGGAGCGGCGAGCAGCGGGAGGCGCGAGCGGUGACAGAGGCAGCGUUUGCGAGCAGCGACAGCGGCGAGCGGUGACAACGGAAACGUUUGCGAGCAGCGAGAUCGGGAUCGGGAUCGGGAGCGGCAGCGGCGAGGGUUAGGGUUGGGUUCUCACUUAUAUCGAUUUUAGUUGGUUCGAUUAAACCAACUAACCAUCAGAGACCGAACCAGGACCGAACCAGACCUAAAAUCCUGGUUCGGUCGCCUUGGUUAACCCAGGCGCUCGCCCGAAGCGCCCAGCGCCUGGGCUCGGGCGAGCGCCCAGGCAGCGCCUGUUUGAAGCGUGCCGCUUGGGAGAUUAGCGAGGCGCUCGGGCCUCGUCUCGCCUCGCCCGAGCGCCUAGGCGAGCGCCUUUUUAAAUCACUGCUCUGGAUGGACCGGCAUGGGUCUGGUACAUGCUGGUGUACUGAUAUACGAUACACUGAUAGGUGCUGCAUAACUUUUUUUUAAAGAUUCAAGUAUAUAUGAUACUGGGAGGCACAUGCAAUGGUCUGUGCUGCCAUUACGUGCCGGUCUGGACAAAAUGUAGAACCAUGGUUUCAACACAAAUCUCUCUCUGGUAAAGCCUCAAGGCUGUAUGCAGAAAUCUGGUAAGCUGUAAAGAGGAAAAGGAGACAAAUUUAUGUUUGUUUUUGUACCACCACUUCUGGUCAUUUAAAUUUUGUUGGACAGUAUACAUUUAUGUUUGUUUUUGUUCCACCACUUCUGGUCAUUUAAAUUUUGUUGGACAGUAUACAUCUUUAUUAAUUUAACACUACAAAUCUAUUUUUUUAGUAUUAUUUUUUCUUCUGUGAGGAACUACCAUAUGUAAUCUUCACCUGGGAACUUUGUUUUUUGACAUAAACUAUUAAUUUUUGGAGUGAUUUUGUCAUUUACUUUCCGAUCUGUUUACUUCUCCAUGGUUUCUUUGUUUGUACUCCUGCUUUUUUAAUCUUCUAAAAUCUAAAGGACACUUUCUAUAUUGAAGACAAUUUAAAAUUUUGAAGAAUAGUAUGUCAUUGGAAAGCAACUUGAGUGACCAUGAUUCUGAUGGAAAUAGCUGCUUCUCCACUUAAGUUGCAUUGGUUGACCGUUCCCAAAUGCCGAAUUCGCCAGUGUUUCAUGCACUAGGGUGCCUUUGAACUACAUGAGGAAAUAACGUUAUAUCCCUUGAAAGUGUUGAGCAUUUGCAAAAAAUUCUUAAUGAAUGUUUGGUUAGUGGUGUAAUUAAAUUAUUUGAAAAUUUUACUCCUCACAGUUGAAAGAAUUUCCUUACAUGUUACAGCGUAGUCAAUACAAUUUUUUCUAAAUAUAAUAAGGGUGAUUGCCUUAUUCUUGUUUUCUUCUUUAGUUGUACCUAGAAACCAUACAAGAUCUGCUGGCACCAGAGAAAACUAACAUCCCUGUAGUUGAGGAUCCAAAGACUGGUGAGGUGUCCCUGCCUGGUUCUGCAAUUGUUCAGAUAAAAGAUCUUAAUCAAUUCUUGGAGCUGUUGCAAGUUGGUGAAGCAAACCGCCAUGCUGCGAAUACUAAGCUAAAUACUGAAUCAUCUCGAAGUCAUGCAGUACUAGUGGUGGGUGCAACUCCUGUAAUAGUUUUUGUUGUCUAGUUCUGUUUUAUCUUUAUUUCUUUCAUGAUAUAAUUUAUUGCAGUUGUAUAUUUUUUGUUUCUACUCCCAUCUUUUAUUAUUUCAAGGUUAGAAUUUUUUUAAUUGUCUAUGUUUGCAUUAUUAUUUGAUCAGAGUUAUCUUCUGCCUAUCCUUGCUUUUUGACAUGUAUCUAGGUCCAUAUUAAUAGAUCUUUGGAAGGAAAAAAGGAAAAUGAUGCCUCCUCCCUGGCUAAUGUUACAAAUAGUGAGCUAUCUUCUCACCAUUUACCACAUCUUUUGAAAAGCAAGUUGCUGAUUGUUGACCUUGCAGGAUCAGAAAGAAUAGAUAAAUCAGGUAUGCUUAUAUUGAUACAUUUUUUUUAAUAUUAUUUCCUUCUUUCAUGUGCAAUAUUAUGAUAUAGAUGAUUUAGUGGCAGGAUCAGGGUUCAUAUGCUAGAAUCAUGGCUUUUAUGCAAUUACGAAGAUGUGAUGCUGUCAAGUGUUUACCCAAAUGAUUCAGAAUAUUUUCUAAUUUCAUCGGGAACUUAGCUUUAAUCACAGGCUCUACUCUGAUGACAACCAUUAAAUCGAACUAGAUUGUUCAAGUCCACUAAUGUUGAGAACGUUGCAUUACUGGCUUUAAGCAUGGUACUAAACUUUGGCCUUAGCUUGGCCAAGGCUACUCUCAAAUGUUUCAGUUGCAUCAACAGGCUUUUUGGAAUGUAAUUGUUGAACCAUACUUCAGGCUCUGUACUCAUAAACAAAUCAUUAAGGUUCGCAUCAUUGGUCCCUGUAAGCUUAAUAAUGGCACGGAGAACUGCUUGGCUUCCAAUGAGUAAAAUCUCCAUUGGGAAGUGAGAGCGUCCUCUUGCUAUGUGAUAUUCCAUCAAUGCAUGGCAUUAAACUUGACUAAGUGGAAGGUUGAGAUAAAGCAUCCAUUAAGUCUUAGAAAUUUAAAUAUUGUGAGUUGACAAAAUUUGAGAAAACUAAAUAAUCCAGAAUGAAGUUGGUAAAUGAAGUAACGUACUUUAUCUGCAAAUGAUCUUUGUCAAGAGUUGAUGGAUUAGCUCAAUCGAAGUUUCCUUUACGUACUUUAAUUUGAACAUUUAUGCUGGUUGAUGAUCUAGUUUAUACCCAUUAUGUUUCAGGUUAUGAUUCGAGAGAUAUUAGUCUGAUAAUUAAAAGUUCUGAGAAGUCAUUAGCAGCUUACAUCACAUCUCUUCACUAUGCCAAUCAAAUUUUGUAGGCAUUGAAGGCCACAUGAUUGAGGAGACUAAAUUUAUUAAUCUUUCGCUGACUUCCUUGGGGAAAUGCAUUAAUGCACUAGCUGAGAACAGUCCUUAUAUACCAACAAGAGAGUCCAAGCUCACGAGGUUGCUUCGUGAUUCAUUUGGAGGUGAUUUUAUCUACCUUUUGCUUCUGAAUUGAUUUGUUAUUAUUUUUUCUUUUAAUCUCUUAGAAUCAAAUGUCAGCACUUUUCUUUUUAGUGGCAGAGACUUUCUGUAUCGCAUUGUGCUUUUCAUUCUGGAUUGUUUCUGUUUGGUAUUUGUGUACCACUCUCCUAAUGUUUUAUGAUUCACUAGUUAUUGUGUUUCCAUAAUGAACGGAACCAGUAGAUGUUUGUGUGAUGAAAAUGAUGACAAAUGUUGCUGUUACUUGUUUUGUUCUAUAAGAGUUCAUUUUGCUUUGUAAAUGAAGUUUACAUGUGAUCUUAUUUUAACCUCUAUUUGUAGGCACUGCACGGACAUCUCUCAUAGUUACGGUUGGUCCAUCAGCACGAUACUAUUCUGAAACAGCAAGUACAAUAAUGUUUGGACAGAGGGUUAGUAUUGUUGAAAAACAAUGGAAAGAGUUAUAGUUGUGUGUAGCAUAUGCAUAUUUAUGGAAGAUAGUGUUCUUAUCUGUCUUCUUCUAAAAGUUUCAGGUUCAACCUUCUAGACUGUUUGUUCAAUUUUUGUAUGUAGUUUUAAGUGCAUUAUCUUAUUUAACAUGACAGAAACAUAACAAAAGAUCGUCUUCCACUUUAUUGUAUACCCUUUCAUCCAGUUUUAUCGAGGCUAACUUCUGCUUGUUCCAAUAAAUGGAUGGAAGGUAUAUUUUGGCAAAUAUUAAAAUGUGUCCUUUUUUAAAAUGUUAAAUGUUACUCCACAGAAACAGCAUCUUCAUGAAUUAUUUAAAUACACACCAUGUUUUUACUUAAGAUGAAAUCAUCUGAUGCCCUAAGUAAGCCUUUCCAAAUGCUUAUUAUAAGAAAUACUAUUAGGGCACCUAGGUGGUUCACCUGGGUCAGAUUGGGUGCCUGGUGCCUGAGGCUUGCUUUUUCUCUUAUGCAGUCGCUAGUUACAAAUAAUUAUUACCAAGGAGUGAUGGGAUUUGACUUAGAAAAUUAGGAAAAAAAAUAUUUAUCAUUUUGACUAAUGCAACAAGUGCGAAUUUUUUGGCAAUUACUAGAUUGGUUGCUCCAAUAUUCUUUAUUGUGGUUUUAUUUUAUCUUCUAAUUUUAUGUAUGUUUGUCAUUUGAGUAAUACCUCCUGUUAAAACACCAUUAAAUGAAACAUUGAGGUGAAGAUUUAACAAGUUUUUGGAUUCUUGUUCAAAUGUUCAGUAUGAGCCAGUGACUAUCAAGAACAUCUUUUCUCUAUUGAUAAGUUAAUGCAGUAGAUCAUAUGGUAUUUUAUAUAAUAUUUUUGGGAAAUAUAAAAUGUUUAAAGUGCUUGUAAAUUUUAUAUAUUAUUUUUAUGAUAUUUUUCCCUAGAAGCCUGCUUGUGCACAUGGCCUAAAAGCUUUAAGAGUUCACUGCCCAUGCCUUUUGACUUUUGACAAUCUUGAAUUAACAAUGCUAGCAAGAUACGUGCUGAUACACCUUUCAAGUUUCACACACAUUUAGAGAGAGAGGUUUCAGCUUCAAGAAGGCUAAUCAUAUCUUGAUGUGAGGAGAUGAAUGGUUACUGUGAUAGAACCCUUGCAGAUUCUAAACUUGGGGUUGAUCUCUUUAGGGGAUUGGUCUCCUUGGAACUUUAUAGGGGUUUCUCCCUCCAAGUUGCUACUCAAAGGUUAUAGAAAAGAUUCAUCUAUUGCUUUUGAAAAGAGAAGGAAUACAUGGCUAUUUAUAGAGCUUCUAAACCCUAACUCCUAAUAGGACUCCUACUCGAGACUCCUACUUCUAACCAACUCCUAAUAGGACUCCUACUCAAGACUCAUAUUCCUUUACAACUCCUAAUUCUUCUCUAAGAAACAACCUCCUAACCCUAGCCGGCCUCUUCACCUCUUUAAUAGGGGUCAGCUUAGAUAGGUUUUAUAUGAAUAUCCCUCUCAAUUAGGACUCUCCUAGCUAGAGUCCUAACAGACCCGCCCUCUUCAAAUCAGCCUUGUCCUCGAGGCUGACGAUUCAUAAAUUCUGGGAAUUUGAUCUUUAAGUAGUUAUAGUUCUCCCAAGUGGCAUCUUCUGUUGGUCGGUUCGCCCACUGUAUUAGCACUUCAGUAGUGGGUCGUCGUCGUCGAGUCACGAUCCGUCGAUCAAUAAUGGCACUUGGCUGGGUUUGGAGUUCUUCUUGGGUAGUCAUAUUUGGUGGGUGGCUUUGAGUUGUCUCCAAGCACCUAUUUACAACUUCCGUCUAAUCAUUGGUUUGUGGGUGAUAUGUCGUACUCCUUUUCAAUUUAGUACCCUGUAUAUGAAAUAACUUUGUCCAAAAUCUGCUCGUGAAGAUGCAAGUAGAAUUUGUCACAAGCACAAUCCGUCCCUUAUAGCGUAAUUCUUUUGAGUUCCAAUUGUAAUGAGCCACGGAGCUUGGUGCUUCCUCCAAUUUUUUUAUGAUCUUACUGGUCUCCGGAUCUUCCUGCUAUUCCCUCUUAAUAUCCUUAAGGAAGUCACUAGUUGAAAGUGAAAUGACCAAAAAUUCAGCUUGCUUUGGAAGCCAUAAAAGCGCAUAUGCAACAAUAUUCUCUUUCCCUUUUUUGUAAGUUAUUUCAUAAUCAUAUACAAGAAGCUUUAUUACCCAUUUUUGUUGCUCGGGAGAAGAUAUCUUCUGCUCCAAGAAAUAUUUUAGGCUUUUAUGGUUGUUCUUGAUUUGAAAGCGUCACCCGAUCAAGUACGAUCUCUAUUUGGCCACCGCAUGUACAAUCGUGAGCAUCUCCUUGUCAUAAAUAGUCAUUUUGAGAUGGGAAGGAGAUAAUGCCUUACUGGUAUAAGCGAGGGGGCGGCCAUCUUGCAUUAGUACAACACCAAUUCCGACACCAGAGGCAUCAGCUUCAAUAACGAAAGUCUUGCCGAAGUCGAGUAGCGCUAGUACGGGCGUUGUCGUCAUUACGACUUUAAGUUUGUUGAAGGCAGUGGUGGCUUUGUCUAACCAUUGGAAAACAUCUUUGUUCAGCAAGGAAGUAAUUGGUGCACUGAUCUUUUCAUCGUUUUUUAUGAACUUGCGGUAGUAGCCUAUUAAACCGAGAAAGCCACGUAGCAAUUUUAUUUUCCUCAAGGUCGACCAGUUCUGCAUUACUCCAAUUUUGGAGGGGUACACUGCCACACCUUCCUCUGAUAUGAUAUGCCCAAGAUAUUCCACCUUCUGUUGAAGAAAACAAAAAUUCGUAGUGGUCGUUGUGUGUUCAAAAGGUGAUUUUUGGUAUGUCUUCUUUGCACACUUGUAUUUGAUGAUACCCGGAUCAAAGGUCCAGCUUUGUGAAGAUUUGUGCUCUCUUUCAUCUAGCAAUUCAUCGACUAUUGGAAUAAGGUAUUUGUUCUUGAUGGUUAUGCCAUUGAGAGCUCGGUAAUCAACAUACAAUCGCCAUGCUCUGUCUUUCUUUCGUACGAGGAGCACCGGUGAAGAGUAGGGGCUACAACUUGGUCGAAUAACUCUUGUUUCGAGUAUCUCUUUUACAAUCCUUUCUAUUUCAUCCUUCUGGAGAUGUGGAUACUGAUAUGACUGCGUAUUUGUUGGAGGUUUGCCUGGAAGAAUCGUUAUACAAUGAUCAUGCCGAUGGGUAAAAGGUAGGUUGCGCGGUUCGUCAAAUAUAUUUGAAAAUUCAGCAAGCAAAGGAAGUAGGUUUGGAUCUUCAAAUUCUAUUGGCUCUCCCUUAGUUUGCUACUCAAGUUGUACCAAAAUGCCGCUGCAUGCUUUAUACAAAACCUUCUCCAUUUGUUGUGUACAAAUUGUCGUUACGUCGCCCCCACGUUUCCCGUGCAAUAUCAUAUGUUUCUCCUUACUGUAAAAUUUCAUAAUUAGUUUCAUAAAAUUUCAAGAAACAUCACCUAAUGUCGUCAACCAUUUAAUUCUGAGCAUGGCCUCAUGAUCAUCAAUAGGGAGGAGGAAGAAAUAUGCAAUUAUCUCUUGGUCCUGCAGCAAUAGUUUCACCCGCGGGCGCCUAUGAUUAUACUUCAAAAUCCAUUCGUCGGCGACCUUAACGUCAAACUUGCUGCAAUUCUCGAUAGGUAAGGCCAUCCGGACAUCAACCUUACUGUUUAAAAAGUUAUUAGUGCUGCCCGUGUCGAUGAGAACAGUGAUCGGUUGUUGUUUGAGAAGGCCUCCAACUUUCAUCAUUUGCGGGUUUGAGUAGCCGGCUAGUGCAUGUACUGUAACUUCGGUCGGUUGUGGCUCUUCUUCUACAUCUUCUUCUUCAUGUUCAAGGCUCUCUUCUAGAUGUUCAAUGACUUCUUCUUCUACUGGUUCAAUCAUAAGAAGUCUCCUUUUACUACAGCGAUGCUCACGGCUCCACGGCUCGUCGCAAUGCCAACAUAACCCCUUCGCAGAUUGCUCCCGAAGUUCUUCUCUUGUCAAACCUUUUGGUGCAAGGACUCUGUUGAUAGUAGGGGGGCUGAGGGCUUCGGUAUUACUGGUUGGGGAGCAACCCUAGUCCUCCGGGCUUCAUGAUUCAAUUGCUCCUCUUGAAAUCAUGCGAAAGAGAUGGCUGCCAUAAGCGUGUAUGGUUGUCGCGCUUUAACUUCUCCCCGGAUCUUCGGUUUCAAGCCCUCAAUGAAGGUCCCCAAUAGUUGUUUUUGAGACCAAUCAUGAGUUUGAUUAGAUAACCUUUCAAACAUGGUUUGGUACUCUUGAAUGGUGGAGGUUUGUCGGAUCUUUGCUAGUUGUCCGUCAAUGUUCUCGUAAUCGGUUGGUCUGAAGCGGAUCAACAGUCCUUCUUUGAAUUGUCGCUAUGAGAGGACUCCAUGAGUGUGUUCAAACCAGUCAAACCAGUGUAUGGCAUCCCCUUCAAGAUGUAUAGUUGCAAUUUUCACCAUAGAUGCGUUCGCGGUUUUGUGGUACCGAAAAUAUCGCUCCGCGCGCGAGAUCCAACCAAUCGGGUAUCCUUCUUCCCAUCUAGGGAAGUCCACCCUCAUGCGUGGAUAGUUGGGGUCGGUCAUAGAGCCUCCCCUCCCUUGGAAGUCAUCUCUUCGGGCUUUGUGCGAUUGGGCAGAGCUCUCUCCUUGAUGUGAUUUCUUCAGGCUUGGUGGUCGGCCCAAUCUGAGUUCGGUAAAGAGCGUCCGAAUCUUAUCCUUUAUUCGCGUCUCGAAGGCUAUGAAUUUAACAUUGAUUGCCUCCUCAAAUGCCAUAGUAUAUGCCGCCAAAUCUGUGAUGUUAAGAUCUCUCUUUUGUUGUCGGGUUAAAGGCAUGUAUAGGUUGAGAGAAUUGAUGGUCGAAAGGGUUGGUGGAUUGGUGGAUGUAGGCUGCGGUUUAGGCUUGUUUUGUGGCUGUUUUGGGUGCAGUUUGAGGGUGUGGUUUGGUGGAGUUAUAGGGCUGUGGAUGAAAGUUUUGGAUCUGUGGUAGAUGACAGCAAAGUUUUGAUAGAAAUCAGUGGAAGUUGCUGCAAGUAUGUGCUGUGUUAUAAGAGCAGAAUUGUUGUCGAAGAAAUAGCGGUUUCUCGAUGAAAUUUUCACCAAAAACUUGAGAGAUUUGAGGAGGGAAUUGACAGCAAAAUCUCAGUUUAUAUGACAGCAAGGAUGUCCAAUUUAAUCAAGAAAAUUUCGGCAGUAUAACAGUAAGGAAAUUGGUGCAAGUUGCGAUAGCAGAAUUCACGUCGAAAAAUUUCAGCGGUUUGCGACGAAAAUUUGCAGCAACACAAAAUCGUUUUUAGAGAUGAAUUCCUCAAUAGAUCAAUCUUAGAUGGAAGCCUAGAUGAUCUAUGAAGUGUAUAAGAAAUUUCGUUAAAAAAGGAUUGCAAAUAGAUCGGUUAAGGCAACAAUAUGUGGCUGAAAUUUUUUGCAGAUUUUCAAGUAUAGCAGAUUAAACAUAAAAGAUCAGUGGUUUAUAUUAAGAAAUUUUCAACGAAACCAAAGGGAAAUCCACUGUAGGAAGUGUCAAAUCUAUCAUAAAAAUUUCGUAGAGAUUUGGACAGAAAAAACGUAGUAGCAAGAUCAAACAAACUGUGCUAUGCAGUUGAAAUUUUAUAUUGCAGAUUUUCAAGUAUAGCAGUUUAGACGUAAAAGAUCAAUGGUUUAUAUUAAGAAUUUUUUGACAAAACCAAAGGGAAAUCUGCUGUUAGGAAGUGUCAAAGCUGUCAUAAAAAUUUCGUAGAGAUUUGGAUAGAAAAAACGUAGUAGCAAGAUCAAACAGACUGUGCUAUGUGGCUGGAAUUCUGCAAUGUAUCUUUUGUCAUAGAGAUGAAAACUUUGCGACGAAAAGUUUAUGCAGUAAUAUAGGAACAAUUUUUUUUUGGAUUUUCGAAUAUGGAUAACUAAAUUGCAGCAACAGUAAGGUAGGAGACCAGAACCUGUUGUAAUUCACGGGAAGAUCAAAGGAUGAUCCGCGGUGGUGGAGAUGAUGGCGAAAUUUGGCGACGAUCUUUUAAGCAAUUGUGAGAAUUGCUUUGGGCGGCUGUGGAGGGAUGAUGGAUGGCUGUGGAAGGGCAGCGAGACGCCAAGAACGCUGCUCUGAUACCAGGUGAUAGAACUCGUGCAGAUUCUAAACUUAGGGUUGAUCUCUUUAGGGGAUCAGCCUCCUUGGAACUCUAUAGGGAUUCCUCCCUCCAAGUUGCUACUCAAAGGCUGCAGAAAAGAUUCAUCUAUUGCUUUUGGAAAGAGGAGGAAUACAUGGCUAUUUAUAGGGCUCCUACUCAAGACUUCUACUUUUAACAAACUCCUAAUAGGACUCCUUCUCAAGACUUCUACUUUUAACAAACUCCUAAUAUGACUCCUACUCAAGACUCCUAUUCCUUUACAACUCCUAAUUUUUCUCUAAGAAACAACCCCCUAACCCUAGCCGUCCUCUUCACCUCUUUAAUAAGGGUCGGCUUAGGUAGGUUUUACUUGAAUGUCCCUCUCAAUUAGGACUCUCCUAGCUAGAGUCCUAAAAUACUAUCAGUGUUAUUAUGUUGAAUCGACUUUAGUGAUACCUUUUGUAUUAUUUUGUUAUCAUUCUUACAUGAAUAUGUUGAUAUAAUGCAUCUGUGCUUACAUAUAUAUCAUGCUUAAAGAAAUUUGUGGACCAAUGUAACUACUUUCUUAAUGAACUAGUCGUAGAUGCUUUUGCACAUUAUCUAAUACUCUUUUUGCUUCUUGGAAGGUAUCAUCAUAUGUUGAAUCAACUUUAGUGAUACCAUUUAUAUUAUUUUGUUAUCAUUCUUACAUGAAUAUGUUAUAUAUAUCAUGCUUGAAGAAAUUUGUGGACCAAUGUAACUACUUUCUUGAUGAACCUGUUGUAGAUGCUUUUGCACAUUAUCUUAUACUCUUUUUUCUUCUUGGAAUGUAUCAUUGUAUUAUGAACUAAUUUGUGAUUUUUGUGGAUAUGUUCUAUUUUUUUCUAGGGAAAGAUCAAGCAUUACUGUGUAUGAGAUAGUGAACAAAAUGAUUGCUCUCUCUCUCUCUCUCUCUCUCUCUCUCUUGUUGUUAUCUUGGCUCUAUAUAUCCUUUUUUUUCCUCAAUAUUUUCAUAUAGUCAUAUAUUCAUUAUGUAAUAUAUGUUAUUCAUUACUUGUAGUCAAGAAAGGGGGAAAUGGCGUAUUGUUACACGUAGUCCUUUCAAUUUAAUCACCAACAAAAUGCAAUUGUUGUGGAUGUAAUUAAGUUGGCUUACAUGCAAUUGUCAUUCUGAUUCUAGUUUUCUAAUGCACUCUUCAAGAAAUUACACUUAGGAAGAGCUAGUACUUCUUAGUUUUCAAUCGUCAUUAAUAAAUUGACUCGGAUCACAGGAGGCAUGCCAUCUAUUUAAUACUUAACUUCUGUUUAGAAUUGGAUGUGUAUUUACUGAAGUCACAUGCAAUAUAUAUUUCAAAUAACUAUCAUGGUUUAUGUAUCAUUUUUUGGGAGUUUCUUUAUGCAGUUUAUGAUGUCUGCAGGCAAUGAAAGUAGUUAAUGCUGUCAAACUAAAAGAGGAAGUUGAUUAUGAGAGUCUUUGUAGAAAGCUUGAGUACCAUGUGGACUAUUUAACAUCAGAGACCGAUAGACAGCAAAAGCUUAGAGAAAAUGAGAAAGAGCAGUUGGAGAAAAAAUUGAAAGAGAAAGAAGCAUUCUUAGUUGAAACAGAAAAGAAAAUUUCUGUUAAAUGUGAGGUAUCAUUUAUAUCUUUAUUUUGUUUCUGAAAUACAAUUUUCAUUUCUUGUUGUAACAAUUUUGUGUAUGUAGCUAUAUUUUUUGAAAAAGGAAAAAACUAUUUAUUAAGCGUUAAAGUAGGUCAGUGCAACAAAAGUAUGGAUGGGAUUGGAGCCAUGACCUCCCCAAAAUCGAGUAAGACCUCUAACCUCCCAUAUGUUAGCAAGAAUAUGAGCCUCAUAAUUGAGGCUACAGGGGUGUGUAAAGAACAAAACAGUAAGCCUAUGAAGAAGAGCUUUAAUGUCUUCUAUAACAAGCCUAAUGGACCAAGGGGGCACAUUGAGCUCCAAGACAAAAUUGAUUACAUUAGCACAUCAGUACAGAUGCUAAAAUUAGUGAGACCCUCGGCUUCAGCAAAACAAAGACCUCGCAGAAUUGCUAAGGCUUCAGCCAAGAAGGAGGAGGUUUGGCAUGGCUGGCAGCAGCAGCAAUGAUCUUUAGCUUGGAGUCCGUCAAGAUGAACCCUGCUCUGCAAGACCUUUAGAGCAAUCAUAAGAACCAUCACAGAAAAGGGAGAAAGAAGUUGGGGGUGAAGGAUGGUUAGAAGUAGGAAGUGAAGAAUGGCUAGAAGAAGGAGGUGGUGGUAAGGAAAAAGAGAAAGAAAGUGAUUUUGGCAUGUUACAAGUCCCCUCAGGUAGAUUACUAACAGUGCGGUAGGCAAAUGUGGCAGCAAUAGCUUUGCUGAACAAAGAGAAAGGUUCGGUAUGGUGGUUGUGAAACUUAGGAUCCUUUCUGUUUAACCAAAGGAACCAGAGCAUGCUGGCUAUACUGCCCGCAUCUAAUCCACAUGGAUGCAGAGUUACCCAUAUUUGUUCCUUCAUCAAGCCAAGCUCCCUAUUUCCAGUGGUUAAACAGUUUAAAGUAAACUCCCAGAUGAUUUUGAAUCAAAUUCCAAACAACAUUGAUGAAAGGACAAUAAAAAAAGAUGCAAGGGUGAGAAUCCGAAACAAGUUGACAAAUAUAACAUGGUCGGUUUCACAAUGGAAUAUGUAAGAAAAUCUAGCUGAGGUGGGUAAGCGAUUCCAACAGAACUUCCAUAAGAAAAGUUUGAUUUUGAGUGCUACUUUAAGAUGCCAAAUGGUCUUCCAACUGUACUAGUCAGUAGCCUCAAUAUCCAUCCCUCUUUUGACAUACUGAUAAACACUGCUGGCAGUGAUAUCUCCCAAUGGGCUAGGCAACUAUUAGUUGACUAUUUUGGCAACUACUUCUGUUUUCUAUUAAAUUUAAUGUUUUUCUAAAUGGCAUCAUGCAUUUAUUUUUCUAACAUAAUAAGCAUAUUUUUAUUCCACAACUUUUCUAACAGCUAUACUUUUACCUCUGCUAUCCUGCAUUUUUACAAAAUUUCUGCUCUUUAUUUUAUGCUUUUAUUUUUUUCAUAUGACUGAUUUCAGCAUUUGGAGAAAGAAAGAAAUCAUUUGGUAUUAGAGACCCAAAGUUUAUUGAAGGCAUUGAACAUUCAGAAGAGCGAAAAGGAUAAAUUGUCUCAAGAAGUUGGCCAUCUUGAAAUAUCAUUAAAACAAGCCAAGGUACUAAUUAGUUUCCUUGAGAGAUCUUUGUUGUUGUUGUUGUCAUUGUCGCGAACGUUAUAUAUUUCUUUGUGUGGAAGGAUGGAUAUUGGUGUAAGAUUUCUUUUUGUAUCUUCGCAAGAGUUUUGUUGCUUGAAAUUGUUUCAGUUGAAGUAAACAUAGAUGGUUUAAGCAUAUAGUGUUUGCUUAUGAUUCUUGUUAAAACAAUUUGCAUCCUGAAUCAACUGAGUGUUUCUUGACUUAGGUGCAAUAAGUAGAUAAUAUUUUUGAAAUAUGGCUUUAUUUUCCAAUUGAUCAUUAAUAGCAUUUUUAUCUAACAAUUUUCUUAAUUUUUGUGCCAAAUCUGGAUUCUUGAGCUGAUUGUGGAUGAUGUUAAUAAUGUUGGUUUUAUAAGAUUGAUGUAGCUAGCUAAAUCUCAUUUCUUGAUCAAAUGGUAGGAAUCAGUGGUUCGAUUAAGUAUAUGUCACUGCUUUGAAAUGUAAAACAACAUCAAGUUAAGCAAGAGGCCACGAUAUGCAUAUAGAAUUAUAUAUACCUAUUUCGAUGUUAUUGAGCAAAGAGGACAGAGAAAAUAAAUAUUUUAAAUUAAUAAAUUUGAUAUUUGGGAAUCUUGUGAUUUCUUUGUUCUCAGGGGGCAAGCAAUUGUUUUAGGAACUUAAAUAUUAAAAACAUUGUUUGAAGGUAAGUAUUGAUUUGAUCAUGGUAUGCAAUUUCGAAUGGUAUCGCUUGGUACGGGCGGUACGUACCGGUCCGACGGCAUACCGGUACGCGGAUCGUCUGUUACCGGACGGACAGUGCUACAGUGUUAUACUGUAGCAGUGCUACCCCCGUGCUACAAUAAGAGGAAAUCGCUCGGUAAACCCUGGUGUACCGUUCGGUAUGCCCUAGUGUACCGCUCGGUAUGUCGGUACCGUACCAUACCGAGCUAACCUCGAAACACCGGUAUGGUACGGCAUUGCAUACUUUGGUUUUGACAACCACCCGCAAAUGGUCAUGGAAAUGUAUUAUGUUGUAGCCGUUGCUACAAAUAUGGGCUAAUUUUCCUAUCAAUUAUGCUAAAAUCAGAAACAUAUCAUGGUGUUUAGAAAUGAUUGCAUAUAUAUCAGUAUGGAAACCUUAAAGCAGGACUAUCAAUAUGAACAGUAAUAUCCUACCAUUUUGUUCUUAAAUUAGAAAUUUUGAGAGUACUAAUGAAGUCACAGAUUCAAGGAGAAAUACUGGUUUAAGCAUAUUUGGCAUGAGUAGGGAUGAAAAGAACAACAUUGACCCCUAGUCAGACAGCUUCUUUCAAUCAGGGUUUUAAUUUCGAAUGAUACGAGUGGUACGUACUGGCCCGCUAGCAGAUCGGUAUGCGGACUGCCCGCUAUUGGGCGGUACUGUCGAUUGAGGUUGUUUUCGCUUCAUUACCACCUGAAAUCGAUCGAUGACGGUCGAUUUCGAUCGUCCCACUACCAAGCGGUAUUAGCCGAGGGAGAAGGAAGAAUAGGGAGAAGAAGAGGGGGAAGAAAAGGGAGAACUUGGAGAUCCGACGUUGCUCUCCCUUGACGAUCCCAAUCUGUCGUCACCCUACCUUGCCGGACGCCGCAGAUGAGAUGUCGCCUCCUCGUCUGAGGUGACGAGGCCUCGACAUUGUCAGCGACUUCUUCUAAUCUACGCGGGGAGAAGAAGCCUCGACGUGGGAAGAAGAAACCUCGGCGACGUUGCCGAAGCUUCACGGGGAGACCUCGGCAUCAUCGACGACUUCUUCUAAUCCACACAGGGAGAAGAAGUCUCGGCGUGGGGAGAAGAAACCUCGGCAACGUCGCUGAGGCUUCGAGGUUUUCUUCUCCCUACACAGGGAGAAGAAACGACGUGACGUCGCCCCUUUAUUUAUUUUUUUUGAACUUUAUUAAUAUAUAUAUUUAUAUAUUGAGUGGUAUGCUAGAGUGUACCGCUCGGUAUACUCGUACCGUAUUGUACCGAGCUGAACUCGAUACUCUGGUACGGUACGAAAUUACGAACCAUGCUUUUAAUCACCAAUUUGUUCCAUCUGCCAUACUACACAUCUUGAAUGACAAUUAUCUCUUUUAUGAUUUUUUUUUAAUGUAUAUCAAGCCUAUUUGCCUGGAUUUCCCUGCUUUAUAUUGUUCACAGUCUAUAGCUGUAAGCACUAUAUAUUUGGAUGUGUGUAUGAUAAAUCUUUUAAUUGCUAUAUUGCAUGUCUUUCUGCUAAUUGAAGUAUUAUCCCUAGUAGCAACAGGAGCUUGAAAAUUUAAAUUAUCAGAAGGUACUUGCAGAGACGACACAGAUGUAUGAGAAGAAAAUAGCACAGUUAAUUAAACAGCAAGAAGAUGAAUCCUCUCGUUGUGCAGAUUUAGAAGAACAGUUGUCUGGGAUGAAGAAUUAUCCGAGUGGUAAUAAAAAGUCAGUUCAGGUAGUCUUCUCCUUUUUCAUGCUAUGAAUUAAUUUGGAUCUAUCGUAUGAAUCUUCUCAUGAUUGCAACAUCUGCAAUUGUUGUCCUCUGCUUGUUCUGCAGUUCUAUUGUGAUAUCAAAGAUCCCUUUGGCAAAAUGCUAGGAAAGUCUGGUAUAUUGCUACUCAUGUUUGAUUGAACUUGGCUGUAUGUGUUCUUUCUUACUGUCUGAACAAAAAGAACAAUGGACGAAGAACAUUGAAUUAUUUGAUGAAAAGUAUGAAAACAAUAAUAGAAUAUUUCAUUGAUUAAAUCACAUUCUAUGAAGUUAGUUGCUUUUGCUCCCAGAUCAUUAUGAACGAUGUGUUUGGUAAUCCAAAAUGGAUGCCACAAUCUAUUCAGUGAGUAGGAUGAUGUAUUUUUGUGGAUUGUGUCAGUGAAAAUGAACCUUGCAGCAUAAAAGGCUUACAAGUCUAUGUUAGCUGUGCACCAUGAAGUCAUUAUGAUUUCUUAUGACUCCUUUAAUUCAAGGAUUAAUUCAGAAGCUCUCUGCAGGGAAUCAUUUAUAUGUUAAAUUUAUUUUUUCAGUGAUCAAAACAGAUAAUCAUAUAAUGUACUCUUAACCAUCUUAAUCCAAAUUAUAUUCCUGGUAAGGUUGUCUAGCAUAUAUGAGACUUUACAAUUGAAAAAACACACUUCUUGAGUUAUUUUACUUGAAGCACUUAACUAACCUCCUAGAAAUUUCCAUACUGCCCUUUGAUGUGGUCACACCCACUUAAGAUGGCCUGUGAGUUUGAUAGGACUACAAAAUUUUGAUCUAAUAUCAUUGGUUUAGAUGUUAAAUAUCCUACUGUUGUUACCAAAGUUACUUUUUUCCUUCGACAACUGCGUAUUUAGGAAUUGGUGAUAAUUCUUUUUUUGUUCCAUGUGGAAGAAUAAAGUAGAUUAAGAGCAAUAUGUGGUUAAUGAAUUUUAUGAUUAUACACAUACAUAUUAGAGCUAUGUGUGAUUAAAUACUGUUGCCAACUGGUUUAUGAGUCUGGUGCACUUAGACUUGAUAUUUGUUGUUGUUUUUGCCUUAUAUUUCCUUCUGAACCCACUAUAUUAGUGGCUAUCCCUUUUCUGAACUCAAUAUCUUCAUUCUGAAUCUUCAUUGAACGAGGAACUAUGAGUUGUUAUACUCGGCAACAAGUUAUUACAAAACUUACAAUCUCUUCUGUUUAGGAACCUGCUCCAUCAUUGUUAUGGCCUUUUCAUUGUGAUUGUUUUCUGAGUCUCAAGGUGUUAAGAUAACCAAUUGAGUUGUCAUUUACUUAGCAUCAAUCACCGAAAUGUAAACUUCUUAUAUAGUCAUUUACUUCAAAAUGUCAGAUGCAGGAGAAAGAGAUUGAUGAGCUUAAAGGGGAAAUCUUAAAGUUGAAUGAAGAUGCUGCAAGUACAAUUCAGUCCCUAAGAGCAAGGAACAACGAACUUUCGCUAGAAAAGGUCUGAACUUAUUUAACUUAAAAUUUUAGAUCAUAUUUCCAGAUAUUCUUCAAUGUCGUGUUUGAUGAUUUGAAGUCUUUUUCUAUACAUGGUAUAAACAAGUAUUAAUGAAUAAACUCAUAUUUGUAACUAAGUUAUACUAUAUCUUAUAUAUGCAUUUCUUCCCUUUUUGAAGUGAAGCAUAUAUGUCCUUAUAAUAAGGGUUCUUCACAAGUACAAGAUAUAGAGGCAAAAUCUUGCGGACGUCUUUAUAUACCUGAAAUGAGUAUAUGCAAGGAUCAACAAAUUUUACGAGUGUAUAUGACCAUUUAACUCUUUGUAGGUAUAUUCAGAUUUUGAUCACUUACAAAAGAAAGGGAGAUGAAAGAAAUUUUUGAGGAAAAAUUUCUAUAAUUUAUUGAUAAAUUCUUUUACCCUUUGAGGAUAUUUAGGAGUUAUUUUUUUUUCUUUCUAGGAGUUGUUGAAUGGAGAGCUUAAAACUUUGAAAGACAAACUGCUAUAUGAAGAAAGGAAAAGAAGGUGCCUUGAAGAUGAAAUUAUCAUAUUGAAAAAUGCCUUGAAUGAUGACAAUGCAGAGUAUGAGGUAGUGGUUCUUUUUAUUCAAAAGGUUAUUUAUUAACUUCUACAUGCAUGUUGGUUAUGAUCACCCUUUUUUCAAUAACUGUGAUUCUUUCAGUCUAAAAGGCCAUAUAAGGGAGAUAUUACAACUAAAUCAACGUUGUCACUUGGAGGUCCUGCAAAUAUUCCCAAGUCCAACAGGUCAAGGGAGACCAUAUCUGGUCAAAAGGACACUAUCUCCAAAAUAUUUGAGGAAGGCAAGACCGUAAAUGUUGAUUUACAUUUGGAUAUUGAGAACUUUCUGAUCCACCGCUGUUUCUCUAACAUGCACUCAUUUGCAUUUUUUAGUUGGUCUAUCAAAUAUAUUAGCCUUAUUGAAGUCUGAGGACUUGGAUGUGCAAAUUCAUGCAGUAAAGGUAGUAGCUAAUCUUGCUGCUGAAGGUAUGUAAAAUCCUGUAACCUGUGUUUUUGAGAUUUGGAUAACAAUUAUAUUAGAUCAAUUCACCAAUUAAUUCCAGACAUUUGUGAUUAGAUAUGCUUGACUGUACAAGUAUACCAUCUCUUUUGGAAUGCUGUCGUUUUCCAACUUGAAAAAGGAGCUUUCACUAACCUUGUAUGCAUAGAUGUUCAACCCAAGUGCACUCAAGGUUAAUCUGUGGAUCAUAUCCAGUAUUUUACCAGCAAAAGAAACAGACUUGUUUAAAAGAAUCUUCAAAACACCUUCAUACUAGUUUCAACAUAUAUGCUAUUGGUCUUUAGCUUCUUGAAGAUAACUUAGAGGGCUAGACAGCAUAAUAAAGGACCAAGCAUGGAAUUAGUGGAUUCCAAUUUGAGCAUCCAAAAAACAACAACUAACAUAUGAUUAGGAUACACAACAUGUGAACCCAAAAUAAAUUGUCUCUGUAUGAUAAAUUUUAACAGAAGACUUGCCUCACUAGCUAGCCUUGACACCUUGGCCUGGGACAUAGACCAGAUUUCUACUCUAUGGCUUCAGUUACAUGCCACUAACCCCAAAAGGUAGCGGUUGUCCUCAGCUAGUUUCAGAAUUGUCAAAAUCCAUAGUUAUGAGUUUCAUUCUGAAAAAUUGCUACCACACAAGAUUUGGGUUUCUUAGCUUCCAAACUUAAUUACACAACAGAUCUCUCUCUGUAUUGCAAACAAUGCAGAGUUUAAGCGAUCACAAUUUUUGCUCAAAAUAUGCCACCAAAUUUUGUCCAUCAUUAACGAAUCACGUGCUUAAUAUCCAUAAUUACAUAUUGAAUAACUAAUAACCACUAAAUGAAGAAAUAAUAAAUAUGUAAUAGACUAUUAGAAAUCUUUCUUGAAUAAAUUCUUCAAUCGUAACAGUACAUGAACAUGCAAGACUUGCAUAAGGCUUCCCAGACUUUAUCCCACAAUUAUCCCUGAUGAAAUCCUGGGUAUCUAGAUGAAAUGUAUCUUUUGAUAUUCUUUCUUCUGAAAAAAACAUGGCAGAUAGCCUUUGUUUAGAACCUUAAGACUUGUGAUCAUUUGUAUAAUAUUUGCAUAAUUUGACUGGGUCAACAUCCAUCUAUUGUAAAAAGCUGCUAUUUUUUAUUUUUUUAGGAUUUCCUUAGUGGUGCUAUUUGUAUUCAUUCUAUGUAUCUGCACAUUUAUCAUCUUUCUUGCUGAAAAAUGAUAUAUUGGAUUUAGGUUUCAGGUACAAAGCAAAACUUAUGCUAACAUCUAAGGCUCGUCGUACCAUGGUGUACCGUUCAGUAUGGAUGGUACAUAUCAAUUUGAUAGGGGACUGGUAUAGGCGGUACAUUGGUAUACCCCAAUGUAUCGUGUGUUAAUAUGCUUAGUACAGCUUGGUAUAACUCGGUACGUACCAUACCGAUAGUUGGUCGGUAUACUGGUACGGACCAAUAAGGCGAACUAUACUAAUAUCUACAGUGAUGCACAUUACAUUGUGAUGAUAGCUUCAAGUGUAGAAGUCAUGACUAGGAAAUGAAAGUUAACUAUGAUAUGCUUCUGUGUUUUGUGAUUUAUGGUUCCCUCUCUUGUUUGAAGUAGCUGUUUUAACUCGAGACUGUAGCUAUUGUUAUGUUAGUUUUUAUAUACUUCUCUUUUCCCUUGCAACCAGUAGCUUAUGCACAACAGUGUUCGACUCUUGUUUCUCUAUGAACUAAUACUUUGAUGCCAACUAGUCUAAAUUAAAGAUUGUGAAAGCUGAUGUCGGAUUAUUCCAGUCAUUGAUAUGUUUGCAUAAAAACUUGAAUUUUGCUGACUUUUUCUAGUAGAAGUUUUUUUUUCCUGAAUUCUGAUUUUUAAGUUCCGCUAGCAGUAAAAGGAAGUAAAAAGAUUUAUUCCUCAGUCAUGAUUCUAUUGUAGCUGUUAUCUCAAAGUCAAUUUAGGAUUUUCGACUACGACUGCCUUUAAUUGCAUGUAAUUAUUAACAUGUCAUUUUAGUGCUACAUUAUCUUUCUUUUUUUAUUUCCAUCUCAGUUGCUUGCCUCUGCAUUUUGCAGAUGUAAAUCAGGAAAGGAUCGUUGCGGAAGGAGGCCUGGAUACUCUUCUUCUGCUUCUUGAAUCAUCGGAAGAUGCAAAUAUUCAUCGAGUCACUGCUGGUGCUAUAGCUAACUUGGCUAUGAACAGUAAGUGGACAAUAAACAUAUAUCUGAAGAUAACUUGCUAUUUAUUACUCAUAUAUAGUUAAUGAUUAUAAGAAUCAUUGUUUUAGUAGUUCAUGAUCAUUUUGGAACUGCAAUUUCUAAAACUUGCAUUUGAGUUCCUGAGAUUUUGCCAAUCAAGAUUUCAAAUAUUAUGAUGGUAUACCAAUUGUACCAAAUAUACCACACCUAUCUGGCCACAUACCAGUGUACAGACUAUGUUGGUUGAUACCAACAUCUAAGUAGACAAUACUUUUUUUAAUAGUUUUGGUAGGCUAUUCAGAUUGUAGCAACAAGUAGGGUUAUGGUCUAAUAAGAUUUUGGUCUAGGUUGUCAUGGACUUAGCUGGAAUUACUUGAGUUGUGAAUCACCCUUGCAAUAUCUAUUCACAAAGGGUCAGCUUAAUAGCAACCUCGUACAGGUUCCGAAAGACCUGUAAAAAGAAAGUUGGUUAAAUUUAGAAAAUGAGCAGUGGACAAGUCUCAAUGUCUUGCAAAAGGGGAAGCCUACAAGCAAUUCAACAAACACUUGGUAUGCAAAGAGAGAAAAGAGAGGAAGCGAAAAUAAAGACUUAAAAAGGCAAAAGAAUAGCUGCAAGUUUGUAAACGGUCGCUCAACUAGGUGUCGAGGUGUAAGAUAAGUUCAUGCACACUUUGCAUGCAAACUUGUUUAUCCAAAUAGGGCUACCCCAAAGUCCCAUAUAGUUCUAUGCCACUCGGGUGGUUCUAGGGGUCUGAGAUGACUGACGUUUUGCACUGCACCAUAGCCCGCAGAAAAAAGGCCACAACACGCAAAAACGAGGCCAUUGUGGAGCAGUUUUGCGCAGUCUAGCAAGCGAUUGCUAUGUAGCAUUGUAAACUACAUUUGGUUACAGAAACCAAGCAAAAAUACACAAAAACAAGGCAAACACGCUACCAGACAAUUAUAUAAGCAAACAUAAGUGACGAACGGUUCAUUGACGAAGGUGUCGUGAGCGCAUGAUAACACUCUUCCCCACUUAAUUUGUCAACGCCCUCAUCGACACUUGUUGGUAGGCUUUGAUGACUUUUUCUUUAUGUCGCAGGGCAUCUUUUGGCUUCCAACCAGUUCUAUUUUGGGAAAUUUUCACCACUUCACCAAGUAUUCGAUUUGCUUCGCUUUGUUGGGUAGAUUUGUCUUGUGAUCCAAAACCGUCCCAGGAAUCGUGCAUCUCGAUUAUUGAUAAUGUUAUGCGGAACUCCCCAAUACUUUACCAUAUUCUUCAUCAUCAACUUGGUCGCCGUCUCCAUUAAUGAUUGUAGGGGAGCAACAAGAAACAUUGCAUACUUCGAGAAUCAGUUGACUACCACAAGUAUCAACACUAAUCUCCCUGUUGUCAGGAAGCUUGAUAUGAAAUCCAAGGAAAUGCUCUUCAAUGGUCUAUCUAAUAUAAAGGCUCCAAAGACCCACUAGCUUUCCUUUCUCCACUUUAUCUUGUUGGUAUGUGAGACACGUCUGAACAUGCUCCUAUACAUCAGUCCUCAUCUUUGGACAAUAACAGGCCCUUUCCAUGAGAGUCAAAGUUUUGUGAAUGCUCGGAUGCCUCGUCCAAAGGAAAUCAUGAUACUGCCCAGUGAUUUAAAAAGGCGCUCGGGCGAGGUGAGGCGAGGCCCGAGCGUCUCGCUAAUCUCCCAGGCGGCGCGCUUCAAACAGGCACCGCCUGGGCGCUCGCCCGAGCCCAAGCUCUGGGCGCUUCGGGCGAGCACCUGGGUUAACCAAGGCGAUCGAACCAGGAUUUUAGGUCUGAUUCGGUCCUGGUUCGGUCUCUGAUGGUUAGUUGGUUCAAUCAAACCAACUAAAAUCGAUAUAAGUGAGAACCCAACCCAAAGGACUUUGGGGGAUAGAUUGAUGUUGUUAAGGUAUUUAAGUGCUUGCUUUUAAGGGUACUCUCACCAUGUGUGGCCCUUUGCAUAAGAAGCAUCUGCCAGCUUUUGAGACUUUGCUUUUCGAACUCGACCCCUUUUAGGAACUCUUUCACUUCUAUUCAAGAGCAGUCUUUUUCCCUCAGGAAUACUUAGAUGGUUGGUUUCCUGAAGACUGUUGCUUCUUCCCAAGUCCUUCAAGGAAACAAAUUCAAUAAACCUUUCUACAAUUGCUAUUGUCCCGACCAAAUCGAUAACAUUUUGUCGAUGCAACUCCUAUUGUGCCCAGGGUUUCAGGCCAUUAAGGAAGCUCAGCAACUUAUCCUUAUGUUUUGUAUAUCCAACAUCAAUGUUGAGAACUGCUUCACAUAGUCCUAAAUGGAAGUGUUUUAAUGGGAGUUGUCUCAGCUUCCUUUGUGCAACGAACCCGGUGUUCUCGAGUAGGAAUUGAUUUAUAACUCCCAUUUUAGGUCUUCCUAUGUAUCCACUUGAUAUCGACCUUUUGGAUCUCUUCCCAUCAUGUGCACCACUAGAGUUUCAUGUCCCCAUUUAAGUAUAUGGUCAUGAUCGACACUCUGGUGUCUACAGAUUCAAGCCUUGUUGCCUGAAAAUAUUGCUCCAUGUCAAAUAUAAAAUUAUCAAGUUUGUUUAUGUCCCUAGCACCACCUAACAAUGUAGCUUAGUUGUCCUUAAGUUUUGUGGCGGAGCAAUGGGGGUGUUGUUCCCUCCGGCAUGAAGAGCUCCCGUGAACACAGUUUUCCUUGUCAUUAGAUCUGCCACAAAUUCUUAUAAGUGCUGCACAAACUCUUGUGUGUCUUCCAUUAAUCGAUUGACUUAGGACUCCACUAUGUCAAUUCGAGAUUCUGCCUCCUCUUACGAGUUCUCUACCUCAAGGAACUUUGCUGGCCUUGAUAGAGCUCCUCUAAGCUCACUUUGAGGACAUCGAGGAGGGUUUCCGUUGUUGCAAGCCUCUCAUGAUUCUUUGCUUUCCCAUAGUUAGCACUUCGGAUUGCGCUUCCUCUGCUUGCAAAGAAUUGCCAACUUCUUGCUCACUAUUUUGGCUAUUGCGCUCCUCUUAAGAGGCUCUAGCAGCUUGAGUGCGAGUUUACACUUACAACCCACCUAUAGCUGCCUAGGGCAAUGACCCUACUUGAGCAGUCCUGCUCGAUUCACCAUGGUGCUUUGCCAUGGCAAGAGUGUGAAUUUUCGUUAUUUGCUCGAAUCGCUUACUCGUUUUGAUGCUAAAUAUCACGGAUUUAGUUGGAAUUGCUUAAGUCAUGAGACACCCUUGCGAUACCCAUCCAUAAAAAGUCAGCCUAAGAGCAACCUCGUACAAGUCUCGAAGGACCUGCAAGGAAGAAAGUUGAUUAAAUUCAGAAAAACGAACAACGAACAAGUCUUGCUCAAUUCACCACGGUGCGUUGCCAUGGCGAACUUCCAUUGUUUGCUCGAAUCGCUUACUCAUUCUGAUACUAAAUGUCACGGACUUAGUCAGAAUUGCUUUAGUUGUGGGGGCACACUUGCGAUAUCCAUUCAUAAAGAGUCAGCCUAAGAGCAACCUCGUAUAGGUCCCAAAGGACUUGCAAAAAAGAAAGUUGAUUAAAUUCAUAAAACGAGCGGUGGACAAGUCUUGAUGUCUUGCAAAAGGGGAAGCUUACAGACAAUUCAGCAAACUCUUGGUAUGUAAAGAGAGAAAAAAAGUGGAACGGAAAUAAGGACUUUAGAAGACAAAAGAACAUUCGCAAGUCCACAAACGGUCACUCAACUAGGUGUUGAGGUGUAAGACAAGUACAUUCACACUUUGUGUGUAAACUUGUUUAUUCAAAUAGGGCCCAACACUAUCCCAAAAUUCCAUCUAGUCCUAUGCUACCCGAGUGGUUUUAGGGGUUUGAGAUGAACAAAAACUUACAAAAACAAGACAAAAUAUGCUACCAAAUAUUUGUAUAAGCAAACAUAAGUGACAAACGGUUUGUUGAUGAAGAUGUUGUGGGUGUGGGACGACUGUUUGUGAUAGGGUACUGGUACCUGCAUUAAAUUCUUUUUGCCAGUAUUGUAUAUAAUUACAAGGACUAAGAAAGAAGGCCUAACCUAAAGAGUGUCAUUUACAAAUCUAUAUUUUGAGUAUCUUAUAUCAUUAUCAAUUUACAUAUCAAUUAGAAUUUGAUGUAUCUUUUUUAACCAUGUUGUCCAUGAAUUUACUUGUUAUUUCUAGGUUCUAAUCAAGGCUUAAUAAUGGGUAAAGGAGGUGCACGGGUACUAGCAAAUAUCGCUUCAAAAACUGAAGAUCCUCAAACACUUCGAAUGAUUGCUGGAGCAAUUGCUAAUUUAUGUGGGAAUGGUUAGUUUCUGUUGUCUUGCAUCACCAGUGUUGUUAAAUGUUUAGGGUUCCGAGUUUAUUUUAGGUUGUUAGUUACUUUAUUUAUUGUGGCAAAUUAACUACUCAAAUGUAUCAUAUUUCACACUAUAAAGUACUAUGACCAUAAUGGUAAAUCAUAAUUUUCUCUUUCCUUUUAAAUUAAAUCUUGUUUAAUCUCAUGCAUACCCUGUGAUGCAUAUUCUAUCUUCAGGAAAGAAUUUAUGAAAUAUUAGAUGAUGUAUUAUCUGGUGCCUGGCCCUUACAUCACAAUUGCCACAAAUAUUAAGCAUUCUAGAACAAAGCUGAAAAUUUGCAACAAGCAAUUGCAGCUUAUUUGUCCUUUACUUUUGUUGCAGGUGUUCUCAUUCUGAUUCUCACUUCUUUUUAUAGAGUAUGUCUCUUUGAACUGGAAUUUCAUGCAAAGUAACUCAAGUUUUGGAAUCCUUUUCUUUUACAUGUGAUAUUUUACUGAGAUAAAAUUGCAAACAAGUCUUUACCUCUGUAGAUUUUUUAGCAGUUGUUUUAGCUGUAUCAAACUACCAAUUGUGAUUUUCUAUACUUUGAAAACCAUUAAAUGCACCAAAAGAUUUGUUUUGACCAAGUUUUUAGACAAGUUGUCUUCAAAGUGGAGAAUGAAAUAAUUGCGGGAACUUGUUCUCCAGUUAAGUUGCUUAGGUUAACUUCUAAAAUGAACUCCCUUUGUUUAUUUGCUCUUCACACACACACACAUAUAUAUAUACCGAGUGUGUGUGUGUGUGUGUGCAUGGUUUGUAUUAUUGGUCAGUACUGGUGUACUGACCAGUUAUCGGUAUGGUACGUAUCAAGUAUACUAACACAUGGUACACUAGGGUGUAAUGAUAUGCCGUCCAUACUGAUCCUUUGUCGGAUUAGUACGUAUCGCAUGUACUGAGCAGUACGUUUCGAUAUGUCAAAUGUUAUGUAUGUGUGUGUGUGUAUAUAUAUAUAUAUCACAGAAUAGAAGAACUAAAGUCAUAUUGUAAUACAAGGUUUUAGAGAUGAGUUGCUUAAAAUCACCUUGUAAUACAAGUAAAUAAUAAGAAAUUAUGUAUUUGUUCCAAUUAACGAGGUUAUUUAUCCCUUAGAGAAGACUUUUGGAUGGUUGAAAAUAAGUUGGAAGUGUGAGCAGAGCUCUUUAUAGUUUAUAGCAAGGUAUGCAAUUUCGAAUAAUACCGUCCGGUGCGGGCGGUACGUAUUGGUCCGUUAGCUUACCGGUACACGAACCGCUCGUUAUAUAUAUAUAUUGGUCCGGUGCAGAGUCGCGUCGCCUUUUUCGGUGACGUCGUCGAGGCAACGCGGCGUCGCCUUAUAUAUAAGAAUAUAUAUAUAUAUAUAUAUAUAUAUAUAUACGACNNNNNNNNNNNNNNNNNNNNUAUAUAUAUAUAUAUAUAUAUAUAUAUACCGAACGGUAUACCGAAUGGUAUACCGCUCGGUAUACAAUUUCGUACUGUACUGAGCGAACGUCGAAACUCGGGUACGGUACGAAAUUGCAUACCUUAGUUUAUAGUUUAUAAAUAUUUCACAAAUUAGUGUAGCCAAUUGACAUGGUUUAAAAUACAUGUUAGUCAACUACUUUUUUUUUUGAAAGGUGUUCAGCAUAUAUUUUGUGUUAUUUCAUGGUCUUGACACCUCCUUGUUACUUUUCCAAUUCCGGUAAUGUUCUGAAACCAUCUUUUAUGCACUUUGUGAAAAAACAUGUGUUCUUUUGGUGCACAGGUUUACUGCACCAGUGAUUCAUUUGAUGUAAUUUUACUAUUCCUAAAACUAUCAGUGAACAAUAUAAUGAGGACGAGCCAAUGCUAAUAAUUAUAGAACCUCUGAUGUGUGGCCCUACAUUAUGUUUUAAACUAAAGAUUGCUUCUUUUGGAAAUUGUGGAUUUAUAUAUAUUUCUUAAUCUUUUUUUCUGAUUUUUGUGUUCUAUAUAUGCAAUUGAAAUAUCCAAGAAUUCAUCUUUCUAUCUCUUAGAUAAAAACAAAAUUUUGCUUAAGACAUGCCUUUUGAUUGACAGAAAAGUUACAUGUGACAUUGAAAAAGGAUGGUGGUCUCAAAGCACUUUUGGGAAUGGUGCAGUGUGGACAUAGCGAUGUCAUAGCUCAGGUUGCCCGAGGGUUUGCAAAUUUUGCAAAAUGUGAAUCACGAGGUUAUUAUAAUUCUUUCUUGUUUUAUGAAAUUACUGAUCACUUGUCAACUUAAGCUUAUUUUAAGAUAUGACUUACUUUUUAACUUUUGCAUUUUUUGCUUUGAAAGAUAUGAUUUACUUUGUAAUACCUCUUCUUAAAAAGGAUUAAACCUAGCUAAGACUGAUUAUCUUGGAUGAGAUGGUUCGUAUAAUGUUGAGGCUUUAUAACCUGAAGUAAAACAGGCCCAAAGUUAAACGAUUGUGAGAGUUUGAUUAGAUAUCAUCCUAGGUGUUCCUGGUCGAUUACACCAAACUCAUUAUUGCAUCCACUAAAUAAAUAACAUUGUAGCAACGUUAAAAGAAAUAGAUUGACCGAUAUAUACUGACUAGAACUUGCUGGACUGACCAGGAACUGGCACAUGUGAGUUUGAAAUCAUUUUUCGUUUUUUUAAUCUGGACAAUUGUUGACUGCUGUCAACAGUCCUCUCCUCUUCUACUUGUCCUCCUCCUGCUCCCCUCUUCUCUUACUCUCUUAGGUUUGUGUCAACUGAUUUACUGGGACACCAUGUGUUGUGUACUGAUCUCAGACUGGUAUGGUUUUUGGACCAAAACUUGAAACCUUUCAUUAAAGUACUUACAAUUGAGUUUAUGGUUCCCUACUCGUGCUGCUCAGUUCCUGGCAUGCUACAGUAUUACAUGAAUAUACAACAUUUAUUGGCAUGGGAUUGGUGUGGCUUGUUUAGCAUGGUUAUUCACUAGCACUUUGUCUUCUUCUAUGCAUCUAUCACAAGUCCUUUUUAGGCUAUGGAUCUCCUGUUGUGCCAGCCCUUAGUCAGCAUGGCUAAGGUGCAUGGUUCAUUGGUUACAUGACCAUAUUAUGACAAGGAAGUUGGGAAUCAUUAGUUGGUUUUCAUGGUUUCUUGUUUCUCUAAUUCAACAUGAACUUUGCGUGGCCUUGGAUCCAAGUACAUGAGAAAUUUAGACCAGGUUAACUGACUGCAAAAAUCUGCUUUACUUUCCACAUAUCAUUCUGAUUAGAUGUGUUUAUAAAAUAUGUUUUCUUUUUCAGGAAUGGUAUAAUUGCUAUGCUUGAUAAUGAUGACAGGGACCAAAAAUGUUCUAGUACAUUAUGGUAGCUUGAAAUGUUUUGAGUAUGCUUUAUGACCAAUUUCAUUUCUUCAAAUUUGGAGUUCUGGGACAUUCCUUGGUGUUCAAAAUCAGAAUCUCACAAUUCUAAAUAUAUAUUUUUCUUUUCACAUUUAAGGUGACAUAACGUUAUGGUCCUGUGUUUAGCGUACUGUCUUUUUGUUCUCUAAGGUGUAAUUACACACCUGUUUUCUGACUUAAGUCUAUGCACAAGUACAAGUAGAAUUUUAUACGAUAUUUCACCAGGAUACUUUUAUUGAGUCUUUGUAAUUGUUUGUUCCAAAGGACAUAGAAAGGGAAGGUCUCUUCUUAUUGAAGAUGGAGUAUUAAAUUGGAUGGCCACUAGCUCUGCUACAUUUUCAGCUUCAACAAGACGGCAUAUUGAACUUGCAUUCUGUCAUUUAGCUCAAAAUGGUACAUAUGCUAUUAACUCACACACUUUCUAUUUUUACAUGUUGCCAUUGGUUUUAACUUUUCUUUCUAUCAUUUUUUUGUGAAAAUUUGGCAUUUAUAACAGGAUCAGUCUGUUAUGCCCUUGGUAGAUCAGUGAUGAGCCAUUUUGUAUUAAAUUAUCAUAAUACACAUUUGGAUGCCUACGAUGGAUGUCCAAAUAUGUUUCUGGUUUUGCCUAUCAUAAUACAUUAUUUUAACCGGAACAAUCAUUUUUUUUCUAAUCUUCAUUGCAAUACCAGAGUCUUCAUGAUCUUUAUAACAAACUGUGGACUUUGUGGCAUUUUUUGAUUUAGCUCUUUGCAUCUAUUUGAUAAUAAACUUUGUUACACCAUAACAUGUCAUUGAUCUUUAUCGUUAAUCUUGUCUUUAUGAUAUAUUAUUCAUUCAUUAUUAGGUAUAUCAUAAAAUUGAUAAAUUAUGCUUUGUAUUGUUUUAUUGAGAUGGUGAUGAGAACUAUGGUUGGGUUAAAUGAGCUUUAAUACAUCAGCAGGUUAAGAAGCUUGUUCUAUCAACUUCCAAAUGAUAUAAUGCUUUCUAGACUAGUACAGUAUUCAGGAAAAGUAUUUUUUGAGCAGAAGGAUAAAAAUAGAACAACAGGUAAUUCAUCAAACUGCUUUGGCCAAGGAUAAGGAUGUCGGACUUGGUGAUGUUUGAGCCAAGUUUUCAUAUUAAUUGGACUGAGUUUUACUUGAAAAUGACUACAUGCAGAAAUUAGAGUUUUCUUCUCUAGGUAAAGAUAAAAUAAAAAGGUAUCUACCAGAAACAACUGCUACAAUCACCCAUUAAAUACAAAGAAAUUAAAUUAGCAGUGUUGAUAGUGUAGCAGAUCAUUGACAAUGUUUGCGAUGAAGCAGUCUUAUAUCAAAUGAUUUUGAUGUGCUGGUAUGUUAUACACUGACUUUCAAUAAAAUUAUAAACCAUAUGAUCUAACAUGUAUUUUGCAUGGACACGAUUGCCAUUGCUUGUUUCAAAUGCGAGUUUGUUGCUGGUUAAAGUUGCUUUUGAAGUUAAUGAGAUAAUUUAUUUUAUGAUUUAGAUUCUUUUGUCACAUACAUGUGGUGCCUGAACUCUAGCUGAUGAACCAUUUUGAUUUAUUACAUGUCAUGCAGAAUAUUGUUUUACAUUUUACACUUGUUUAACCAUUUUUUUCUAAGAAUGAUGAUGGAUCCUUUGUAGAGGAUAAUACACUAGAGAUCAUAAGGAGCGGAGGGAUCAAGGAGCUUAUUCGCAUAUCACGAGAGUCCUCUAGAGAAGAUACUCGCAACCUCGCAAUGAAAGCAUUGGAUUCAAACCCAGCAUUUUCUACUGAGAUUCAUGCAACAUAAAAUAAAAAAGAGGAUGCAACAUCAAAAGUUUUCCUUCAUUCUUUCAUACAACAAUAUCAUUAUAGGAGCAUCAGCACCCAAUCUAUAUAACUUGUUUUGGGUCUUAGAACGUGUAUUGUAUAUGUAAAGAAAAAGAACUGAAACACGGAAAUGAUGCCAUGUUAUCUAUGCAACAUGUUAAAAGAUUGCUGGAUCAUGCUACAAUCUUUUUAUGGGAGCAUCAGCAUCCAAUUUAAAACUUAUGUUGGGACAUACAGAAUGAGUAUUCCACUCUUUGAUACCGAACUUAUAUGUAAAAUAAGUUCUUAUGCAACUCAUUAUUUUUGUUUACAUAUAAGUUCGGUAUCAAAGAGUGGAAUACUCAUAGCGGUUAUGUUGAGAAUUCUAAUGGUUACAAACUCUACAAUAUUAUCAUAAAUAAACUUGUGAUGACAUGAGAUAUUGAGUUUGAUCAACAAUAGAUUUGGAACUGAAAAAAAUAAUGAGUUGCAUAAGAAAGUUAUAUCUUCAGAAGAGGAUGAUAUACUAUAAGCAAAUACCAAAGAGUCUUUGUCUGAUCAUCACCUAGAUCGAUUAGGUUACAUGAUUCAAGAAGUCUAAUUGUAAGAAGGACAAGAACGAUUCAGGAGUAUAUGAUGUAACUCAAAAGAUUGGUACUAACAAUGAUAAAUUAUUUUAUUUUAUCUUUUUUACAAUACAUUAACAUUCGAAGAAGUUUGUAGAAAAGAAAAAUGACGAUAAGUUAUGAAUGAGGAGAUUUAUGUUAUUAAUAAAAAUGAUAUAUGGGAUCUUACGGUACUUCUAGAAGAGCAUCAAGCAAUUGGUGUUAAGUGGAUCUUCAAAACAAAAAGAAAUACACAAGAGGAGGUAGAGAAAUACACGAUUGGUUGCAAAGGGAUACAAACAACAAUAUGAGAUCGAUUAUAAAAAAGUAUUCACACCUAUUAUUCGAUUGGAGAUGGGAAUAUUUAUUAUCUCUCUAGUAGCUCAAAUGAAAUAAAAAUUUUUAUAAAUAGAUAUCAAAUCAAUAUUUUUUAAUAGAGUUCUUAAAGAAGAGGUAUAUGUUUAACAACCCCUUGGUUUUAUUAUUUAUGAAUAAAAAAAAAAGAUAUAUAAGUGAAAGAGAGCUCUUUAUGGGCUUAAACAAGCCCCAUGAGCAUGUUCUCUAUAAUAAAUUUAACUUUGAUUUGAUAUUUUAUUUGUAUGUAUAUAUAAAGUAAUAAUAUCUCCAUGAUUAAGGAUUUUAAACAUUCUAUAAAGAAGAAGUUUGAGUUGACCAACUUGAGUCUAUUCCUCGGUAUUGAAGUUAUACAAAAUAAUAAACGAAUUUUGAAGAAAAUUAUGCAAAGAAAAUUCUAAUAAAGUUUUUCAUUAAAGAUUGUCAUCCUAUUGAUGCACAUGUGUAAUAUAGCACCAAGUUGACUAAGGAAAAUGAAAGUACAUACAUUAAUCCAACUUAUUAUAAAAAUAAAAGUCUAGUUGGAUAUUUAAGAUAUUUGACAUGCGCUCGACUUGAUAUAUUAUUUAGAGUUGGUUUAAUAAUUAGAUACAUAGAAGCUCCUAAUACAUCUCAUUUAAAGAUCGCUAAAAGAAUUUUAUGAUAUAUUAAAGGGAUAAUGAAGUAUAGAAUGUUCUAUUCAUCAUCUAAAAGUUUGGAGCUCAUUAGAUAUAGAUAUAGUGAUAGUGAUUGGAUCGAAAGCUAUAAUGAUCGGAAGAGUAUAAUUAGAUUUGUAUUUGAUUUUGGUGAAUCUACAUUCACAUGGUCUUUAAAAAAUCAAUAGCAGCCGCAUCAUGAUCUAAAUUUUUGGGUAGUAUUUCUUCCAAGAGUAAACACAUCAAUAGCAGCCCACCAUGAACACCUACUCCCAUCACAGGGUAGCUGCAAUAUGACUCCGAAGCCAGAACCCCUCACAGGCAUUCGAGAAGUCUCCACAAUCUCUCAGGAUAUCCAAAGUUUCACCUCCACCACCGCCACCACCACUGCUUACACACUCAUUGCAACUUCUACACCAUGAUCAGCUCCAAAUGGACAGAAGUAACAUGAUAACUUUUGGUUCUGAUCCGAGCUGCAGAUCCUCUGGUGGUAGCUGCACCCAGAUCAGCUAUGGGACAGUGUUAGAGUAUGCCUAUGAUGGAAGGGGCUGUGAAGGAACGCAGGUAAGCAUUGACAACGGCAUCCAUGAUGGCCUCGAGGACACCAACAGGUUGUUGCAAGCAGGAGGAGGAAGCCAUGUAGAAACUCCAUUGGAUUAUACCUAUGAGGAGAUCAAGCAUUUGCUGAACUACAAUUCUGAGUGCAAUAUUAGCAAAAACACUCUAUAUUAAUGACUCAAUGCAGGAUCAUCUACAUCUUCUGAGCAAUACUACUGUAAUAGAACACCAUGAUCUUUUUCUCAGAAGCAUGCUAGCCCGGUGUUUGAUGAGAGAAGACUGGCGGUUCCUUGGUUGAGCAGAUAUGGUAUUGGAUUCUUUUUAUGCAUUUGCUUGUGAUUUGAUACUUCUUGUGGGUAGUACCUCGUCUGUCUGCUGCUGCUGCCUCAGCUGUCAGCAGCAGUCUUCAAAUCCACACAUGCACUAAGGUUAUGCUCAUAUUUAAACCCAUUUGAUUGCAUGGGUCUGCACAAUCUCUCUUAAUAUGAAUAUAUAGCUUAAACUGUAUUCAACUCAAGUAGAUUUCUGCUUGAAGAUAUAGAUGAAUAUUCUAGCCAGUUUGUAUUGCAUAUGCUUACUUUGGUUUAUCAUAUGGAAUGGGGAAAGGGGCCUCACAUCAUGUCAGGGAUAUAUGCUUAUCAAAGAUUGACAGUAUGGAACUGAGAUUAAUUAGAUUCUUGUUUUGGUUUGUAGCUUAAGACCCUUGUUCUUUAUCAGAUUAAGGAUCUUACAGUGACAAAAUGGACCUUAAUUUUUGCCAAAUGUAAGAGCUGAAGUUUUCAGAACAUCUAUUGUAAGUUUGACAAAUUGCUUGUGGAUUUGGAGCAGUGCAUUAUGAGGGGUGAGAUAAUGAGGGACUUUAUUUGGUAAAUUAUCACACACACACACACACACACACACAUAUAUAUAUAUAUAUAUAUAUAUAUACAUGUCAGAUUCAGGUUCAAUUAAAAUGGAUAAACUUGGGAGACUCCUCUUUAUAGUGUACAAACAAAGAGAUAUGGCCUGAAUCAAGAAUAUUUCAGAAAAUAUACUGUCAUCCUAACAUAAUAUAGAGUCUCAAUUGUCCCAAAAUAUCAGUUAUAUCAUUCGCAAAACAGAUGGUUGUCUCCAAACUCCAACUCAAUCCAAGUCCAACAUGUUAAGCAGCUCAUUUUACAUUAUGUAUUACAUUUUUCGCUGUAAGUUUUGGCUUAUUGUUUCAACAAUUAUAAAUAUGUGGUUUAUCAACCAAUACAUUUGGUAUAGUCACAUUAUGCAACAGUUGCAAUGAAAUAACAACCGACAUGCCCUGUGCUACCAACAGAUCAUUAUAAGAAACACAGGGAAUAAGGGAAACAUGAUCAGAGAUCACAUAAUCAACUUGAUCUUUGGAUAUUGGUUCACUCAAUUCAUACAAUGAAUUCAUCAAGUAGUCCAUGCUUUGCAAAGCAGACCAACAAGGAUGAUUCACACCUUUCCUAUGAAGAACCAUCACAUAUGAACAAGGACAGAUUAAGAAUGUAACCAGAGCCGGUCGUGUAGUCUCUCUUCUCCUGCACCAAGCAUCUCAUCAACUCUCUCUCCAUCUUGAUAAAAAUGGAAAGUUGGUGUAUAGCGUAUGCUUUGUGUCGUUUCAGGACAUUCAUCAAUAUCGGCAUAGACAAACAUGAGGUUUCUGAACUCAUUGCUCAGCUUACAGAAGGCCGGAAGGAUCUUGGUGCAUACUCGGCACCUACAAUACAUACAAUACAUACAAUACAUGGUCGAUGUGAGUAUAUUACAAAUAGCAGCCAAGCCUGUAAACACAUGAACUAUGGUAUCAAUCCCAAUCAUAAUUCAAAAUUUGGGCUACUAGACUUACUAAUCCCUUUUGGCCAAAUAUGUACCAGUGUACUAACACCCGACAUACCAGUUGGUGCCAAGGAGGGGAGAGGAGUGCCAGACAGAAGGGCUGGCAGGUGCUUGACAGCAGCAUGAAGCCAAACCCAUUUUUAGUGUAGACAGAGAAGGAACACAAAGUAUCCUAAAUCCUAAUUUUUAACAAAAAUACCAUCCAGAUUAUGCAGGUUACUGAGUGUCAAUUUGUGAAUCAGAUAGGGCCAGGCCAGGUAAAAGCCCUUGCUUCAUGUGCCAGUUCAACCUAGGACCGGUAGAUAUUGACAGUACAUACCGGUCCGGACAAUAUUUUCAAGCCAUGGUCUUGAUUAUGUACUAUUUCAAAAGUUGGUUUAAUAUUUGCAUCAUGUUGUCUCCACUCUUUUCCUGUAUUAUUUGCUCCAGUGCUAGAUGGUAUGUUUAUUGGUCAAGGUCAAAAUUAAUACCAGCGUAAUAAACUCAUUAACAGCAUUACCACCCAGUCCAAAGACAACAUUUUAUCACUCAGCAUGUGUACCUUAAACAAUACAUUCCAUCCUUAUUAUUUGGAGAGCUAAAGCAUCCUCAGGACCUCAUCCCUAAGAUACUGGUUGUGCUUAGCCAAUAACUCCUAGGUGGCCCAUGUUUGAUACAUGAGGCAUGCUUCUUCCAUCUCAGUCUAUAGUCAUAUUCCCCUCUUUCUACCCUUCAACUAGUACUGGCGCUUAACCAAUGGAAUCUUUGUCCAUGAGCUGCACAUGGCCAGGCCGUCUCAGAUCUCACAAUUUCUCUCACUUCAAUCCUAACAUUAUAGUUUGAAGCUUCCUUUGGCAUAGCCACUGUCAACUAUCUGGACUGUGGCCACUACCUACCUUCUCCACACUCUCAUCCAAGUUGUAUGAAGAGGGCAUGAAACUACAAAAGUGAAUAAGCAAAUGGGGGACACAUGAAUGUUAGGGUGAUUCCUUAUGUAACAUGCACGUACAUCUCUAACAAAUAGUAGGAAAAAAGUGUAUAUUUUAGGAUGUAACAUCAAUAAGCUAAUGAUAAAACAAAGAAAAGGAUACAUGAUAAUAACAAGACAUAAUGAACAAAAUAUUUCUUAAUUUACUAUUUCAUAUUGAGAAACCUAUCCAUCUUAAGCACCAAAAAAUUAAUCAUCAACAGUACAUAACACAGGACCCCAGUCGGCUGGUAAUGGAAGUGAAUCUACAAGCAAUCUAUUAUAUGGAAAUGGAAACAACAAUUAUUGGAAGAAGGAUGUAGCCAGAUUCUUUCAAAAAUGUGAAUACAUCUUAGAAGGUUCAGCUUUACUUUACAGAAAUGAUUUCGUUUGGGAUUGUCACAUGCAAUCUUUUGGAACAAUAUUAUCAAAAUAUAGUCUCUUCCUUUUGAAGUGAUUUAGAAAUACACAAAUAAACUAUAUCGACAAAUAGCAUGUAUUAUGCUGACCUUUUUGCAGCCAUGCAUUAAGAAAAAAAGUUUUGGCCUCAAUUUUUACCCUAGGUUAGUAGCUAUUACAACAACAUAUAGACUGGAUAUAUAUUUUUCCUGUAUGGAAAUCCAUCAAAGGAUGAAGGACCAUACCCCACGUUGAGUAUUUCUUAACGAGCAAAAAUUUUCCAAUUAUGUUGAUUUCAUCCAAGGUUUCCUAGGAUUACCAUUGAUCUUGUGGCAUCAUGUGUAAUGCCCCCAACCCAAUGGAGAGCCAAGGACCAUACAAUGCCGUAAUCCUAUAGGUUUCCCUAUAGAAAUGCAAGGUCAAAACAAGAACAAAUGACUUCCACAUACAUCUAUUACAUAAUCCAAUAAAAAGUUAAUCUACCAACAGGACAUUCAUAACAUGCUCAAGAAACUUAAUAACUCCUUUAGAAUUCAUAACAUUCAAAUCCAAAUAACAUAUACACAAAGUAAUCUGAAUGUCCAAUAGUACCCAAAACUUAAAAUAUUCUUUAUUUCAUAUCUGUAAUGAGCUAUUCCUCAAAUCUGAAAAAUGUAAAAAUAAUCGUAUGAGCAAACCACAAUUUAGUAAAUACCAUGACUCACAUCCUAGCAAAACUAAUCAUAAAUAAGUAUUUUACUUAAGACACAUAAGUUCUUUAUGUAUUCAAUACAUGUUUCAAAAUGCACAUUGAUAUCAAAUAAUUUCUUUAUGCUUAUAUAAUUUAUUAAAACUUAAACUUUACAUACAUUUCAAAAUCAUAAUUUGUUAACAUAAAAUGCUUGAAUACUUUUCAAAACAAUAUACAUGCAUUUCAAAUUACAUAAAAUGCUUACAAUACUUUUCGAAUCAAGAUACAUUUCAAUGUAUUUUCAUAAUUAAAGCAUAAAUAUAGCUAAUGUCAUAGAGCAUAAAACAUUGUAGCACAAAGACUACUAUUAAUAUAAAUAUAAUUUAGGGUUCAUUUACAUAAACAUAACUAAGGUGUACAUGUCAGAAUAGAAGUUAUAGUAGUAUCAAUGACUACAAUCACUUUAUAUCCUGUAACAAGACUUAAAAUCAUGUUUAACCCCCAUGGUAUAGAUAACAUGUAUCUCUCUAUGUUAGGACUUGGAAGAAACUAGUUUACGAACAUAUAACCAAUCUAUAACCCAUCAUGAUAGGAUUCAGAUCAUAGCCAUACUGACCAGAGACAACUGUUAUGUCAUUGAAAAAUAAUAUAACCAUUACUUUUUAGAAAACUAAGAGUUUAAACAAAUCCUUUUGCAUAUCAUUUCAAAACUAAUACAACCAUAUAUCAUUUGAAACCAACAAUAUUCAAACAUUUUAUCAAUCCUUUUCAAAUAUAAUGCUUAACAAACAUUUUCACAUAAAUUCAGAUAAUAUAAAUCAAUAAAUGCUUAUAAAAUAAUAAUUAUUCAAAUCUUAUGUUUUUUUCAAAUUGUCAACAUAUAAAUUCUUUGCAAUACUUUUGAAUAAUAAAAGAACUUCUAAUUCAUGUAAAUAAUAUGCACUUACAAAUUCUAAACACAUGCAUUAUUACUUUAGAAAAUAGACAAGACGGAGCCUUCAGAUACUUAUUCUAAUCGUAUAUAUUUGAUACAAACAUAUUCUGAUCUUUCCUUUCCUUUUCCUUAUUUAUUCCAAAAUAAUCAUUUUCCCUUCUUUUAUUUCCUUCACAAUAUAAAUAUCAAAUAAUCUAAGAACAUUACAAUUAAUCAAGUUAUAGACCUAUAUACUAAUUUGAUAAAUAAGAAUAUAAUGGAAUUCAAAAACAUACCUAACACAAUUUUUUGGGCUUGAUUUGAAUUUAUUUGAUAUCAAAUCAAAUUCUCAAUAAUUUUUUCUAAUUUUUCUUUUAUUUUUCCCCUUUUUUCUUCUACUUCUUCUUCUCUUUCUCCUCUCAUAUCUUUCUUUUUCCUCCUCUUCUUCUUUUCUUUCUUUCUUCCCUUUCUCUUUUUCUCCUGCUCCUUUCCUCUUCUCUAUUCUCACACCUGCGGCUUCUCCCUAGCUUCUCUCUUCCUUUCCUUUCUCCCUUAUUUUCUUUCUCUUCUUCUUCUCUUCCUUCUUAUCCUCUUUCUUCUUUUUUCAUCUAUGUUUCCCUCUUUCAAUCUCUCCUUUCUUUUCUUCUUUUCUUUCUACUUACAUGAUUUCCUAUUUUUUCCUUCAUCCUUUCCUCGCCUCUUUCUUCUUCUCUUCCUUUCUCCCUUCUUUGUUCUCCUACGAGAUCCCCUCCCUCUUUCCUUUUCUUUCCUCUUUCUUCUUAUCCUUCUUGUUUUCUUCCAAUCCAUUUCUUUUCUUCUUAUCUUUCUUCUUAGUCCUUGUAAUUUUUGUAUUCACAAUUAGGUCCUCGAAUAAAAUUAAGGAUAUUAUAUUAUGUAAUAUUCAUCAUUUUAUCUAAGAGCCUAAUUGUAAAUAUAUAAAGUAUCAGGGUCUAAAAUGCAAAACGUCAUCCACCGCUUCCCAUCGCCUCUCUUCUCGUAACUGCCUCUCUCACGAGUACAAGAGAGGCAGCUGAAGCGUGAGAAAGAGAUAGAAAGAGGCAAGCAAAGGAAAAGAGAAGAAAGGAGAAAGGAAAGAGAGAGAGGAUCUUGGGGAAGGAGAGAAGGGGAAAAGGAGGGAGAGAGGAGAGGAGAGGAAAGGAAGAGAGAAAGAUAGGGAGAGGCCUCGAUUGUGAGAACAAAGGAGAGAAGGAAGAUAAAAAGAAAAGAAGAAGAAGAAGAAGAAGAAGAAGAAGAAGAAGAGAAGAGAGAAAGGAAGAGAAGAAUAGAAAAGGAAGAUAAAACAAAAAAGAGGAGAAGGAAAUUGGCUUUGGCAUAGAGAAGAGAAAGAAAAAAAACAAAGAAAGGGAAUAAAGUAAAAGAGAAAUUAGAGAAAACAUAUUGAGGAUUUGAUUUGAUAUCAGAUGAAUUUAGAUCAAGCCCAAGAAAAUUAUAUUAGGGAAAAUGGUUAUGUGGAUAAAAUAAGAAAAGAAAAUGAAGUAUCAGAAUUGUAUGAUUAUAUCGAGGAUCUACAAUUAGAUUAGUCUCCGAUGACUCCGUCUAAUCUAUUUUCAAAAGUUUUCAUGCAUGUAUUUAGAAUUGAUAAAUGCAUAUGAUUUAUGUGAUUUAGAAACCAUUUUAUUAUUUAAAAGUAUUACAAAAAAUUUAAAUAUUAAAAAUUUAGAAAAGCAUAUCAUUAGAAUAGUUAUUGUUUUAUAUGUAUUUAUUGAUUUAUAUUACUUGAAUUUAUGUGAAAAUAUAUGUUCAAUAUUAUAUUUGAAAAUGAUUGAAAAAUAUAUGAUUAUUGUUGGUUUCAAAUGAGAUAUCAUUUCAUUAGUUUUGAAAUGAUAUGCAAAAAGGUUUAUUGAAGCUCUUAGUUUUGUAAAAAAUAAUUGAUAUAUUAUUUUUCAUAAAAGGGCCCAUUUGACCCCUAAUUGAGUUGGCCCAAUUCCAAUCUAAUUAUGUGCUAACUACGAAUUCUAAGGUAUUCACUAAGCUAAAUAAGUCUGUAAGUCUAGGUUUCUUCCGGCGAUCUUCCGACGAUCUCUUGUCAAUGUUCCAAUGGACUCCCGACAAGCUCUUGGACUUCACGACGAUCUUCUUGGCGAGUUUCGACGGGCUUCUUUGGCAAGCUUUUGGACUUCUCGGUCAAUUCCGGCAGAACUUCCGUUGAAUUCCCAAUGAAAUCUUGUUCUUGACUCCGGAACUUCAUUUUGCUUUAUGUCUUGCUAUCGUAGUUAAUCCAGCAUGCUUAAAACCCACUUCGAUCUAGAAUCAAGUGUUUUCCGGCAUGUCAUUGGUUUAUCGAUGCUUUGUUCGAUUAUUCUGCGCAUCGUCCUCUCUUGCGGCCUAUUGCCCAAUCGGUCAGUUGACCUCUGUAACUCCGAUUUCCUCGGCACAAUUUUCGCUCUUCUUGGCAUGAUGCCCGAACCCAUAGCCCGAAGUCUUUUGUCGAUACGUCGACCGAUCCUUCGGCUCGAUGUCCAAUCUUCUGACAUGUUUUUCUCUGGCUCAACAUGAUUCUUCCUGCUUUAAUUAUCUCUCCCUGAUUUAAAGCUUCCUGCGUUACUCAAAACGCAGACCAAAUCAUAAACGCUAUCAAUUGGUUUCAUCAUCAAAAUCCGAGAUUCAACAAGUAUUCCAAAAAAUUUAAAUAUUAAAAAUUUAGAAAAGCAUAUCAUUAGAAUAGUUAUUGUUUUAUAUGCAUUUAUUGAUUUAUAUUAUCUGAAUUUAUGUGAAAAUAUCUGUUCAAGAUUAUAUUUGAAAAGGAUUGAAAAAUAUAUGAUUAUUGUUGGUUUCAAAUGAGAUAUGAUUUCAUUAGUUUUGAAAUGAUAAACAAAAAGGUUUAUUGAAACUCUUAGUUUUGUAAAAAAAUAAUUGAUAUAUUAUUUUUCAUAAAAUGAUAAAUGAAAAGUUAGUAUGAUUAUGAUUUAGACCUGACAAUGGGGGUUAUACAUUGGUUAUAUGUUUAUAAAGUAAUUUCUUCUAAAGGCCCUAACAUAAGGAGAUAUGUGUUACUUACAUCAUGGGGUUAAAAAUGAUUCUGGACCUUAUCACAAGGAUAUAAUGUGGUUGUAAUCAUUGAUACUACUAUGACUUCUGUUCUGACGUAUAUAGUUUAGCUAUAUUUAUAUUAAUGAUAGUCUUUGCACAAGAACUUUUCAUACUUUGAUAUGUGACAUUAACUAUACUUACUACUUUCAUUAUGAAAAUAUAUUUUAAUAUAUUUUAAUUCAAAAAAUAUUACAAGCAUUUUAUGUGAUUUAAAAUACAUAUAUGUUGUUAUGAAAAGUAUUUAAGCAUUUUAUGUUAAUAAGUUGUGAUUUUGAAAUCAGUGAUUUAAAAAGCGUUAGGCGCCAAAAGGCGCCAAGGUCCAAAAACGCCCGAAGCGCUAGGCGCUUGCCCGGGUGAAGCGAGGCGCUAAAAUAUAAAAAUAUAUAAUAUAAUUAAUAAAAUAAUAUAAAAAUAUAUAAUAUAUAAUAUAAUUAAUAAAAAUUAAUAAUAUUAAAAUUAAAAUAAUAUAUUAUUAAUCUAUUAACAAUAUUCAAAAUUAAUCAUUUCAAAUAAACUUAAUAAUAUUAACAUUUAACAGUAUACAGUAUACGUAUACUGUUAAAAGAAAGUGUAAAGGGGUGCUGAGCCUGCUUACUGAGAAAAGAGGAAGCGGCGAGCGGCAACAACGGCGAGCAGCGGGAGUGGGAGCGGGAACGGCGAGCAGCGGGAGGCGCGAGCGACGACAGCGGCAGCGUUUGCGAGCAGCGACAACGGGAGUAGGAGCAGGAGCAGGAGCGACGAACAGCGGGAGGCGCGAGCGGCGACAGCGGCAGUGUUUGCGAGCAGCGAGAGGCGACAGCGGUAGCGUUUGCGAACGGCGACAGCGGCGAGCGGCGAGCAACGGGAACGGGAUCGGGAUCGGCAGCGGCGAGGGUUAGGGUUCGUUUGUCACUUAUAUCAGUUUUAGUUGGUUCGAUUGAACCAACUAACCAUCAUAGACCGAACCAGACCUAAAAUCCUGGUUCGGUCGCCUUGGUUAACCCAGGCGCUCGCCCGAAGCGCCCAGCGCCUGGGCUCGAGCGAGCGCCCAGGCGACACCUGUUUGAAGCGCGCCGCUUGGGAGAUUAGCGAGGCGCUCGGGCCUCGCCUCGCCUCGCCCGAGCACCUAGGCG
RNAcentral lists this long non-coding RNA (40127 nucleotides) under Musa acuminata (dwarf banana). RNAcentral describes it as "long non-coding RNA (MACU_LNC002794)". The record is from RNAcentral. Lineage: Eukaryota; Viridiplantae; Streptophyta; Magnoliopsida; Zingiberales; Musaceae.